GGUCUCUCUCCCAUCUUCCUCCUUUCUCUUCUUCCCUUCUCCUUCCACUUCUCCUUCCCCUUCUCCUUCCCCUUCCCCCCCUUUUUCUUCUCUCUCUCUCUCCCUUACUCUUUCUUUCGUUUUUUGUUUUUGUUGUUGUUUUGUAUUUUUUUUUUUGACGCAGUCUCACCCUGUCGCCCAGGCUGGAGUGCACUGACACAAUCUCGGUAAAUUGCAACCUUUGCCUUCCGGAUUCAAGCGAUUCUCCUGCCUCAGCCUCUAGAGUAGCUGGAACUCUCCAGUAGCAGGGACUACAGGCGCCCGCCACCAGGCCCGCCUAAUUUUUGUAUUUUUAGUAGAGAUGGGGUUUCACCGUGUUGGCCAGGAUGGUCUUGAACUUCUGGCUUCAAGUGAUCCUCCCGCCUUGACUUCCCAAAGUGUUGGGAUUACAGUCGUGAGCCACCGAGCCUGGUCCUCUUUCCCGUCUUUCUUAGACCUCUUGACCUCUCUCCUGGCCCGUGGGGUCUUUGUCACUGUCCCGUCUCCAGUUUGCUCCCCCCGAUUCACUGUCUUCUCUCUCCGGUCCUCUUCCCUUUGCCUCGGACUGUAUCCUCUUCGUCGCUGUUGAUCCCACUUCUGCACUGUCCUCGCUGCUGUCUUCUCCCAAUCCUGUCGCCAUCCCCAUCCCCUGCCUCAGUCCCCUGUGCCGUCGGGCACUCCACCUAUGACCGUGGAGUCUUUUUCUGUCCCCUGCGUCUCUGUCACAUCCUCUCUCGUCGCUCCUGGUCGGAGGCCCUGCCUCCCUCGCCUCAGGGCCCUUCCCCGUCUCCUUCUCUUCCUGUCAUCCCUGGCUCCUUCCCAGCGUCUUUCCUUCCUUCUCCGAAUCGUCCUCUGCUCCUCUGGGUUUGCGUCUGCUGGGGGCUCUGCCCCUGGGAGCUGUUUCCUCCACUCAGUCUCUGGAUGUUUUCUAGGGGGUCACAUCCUCUUCUAGGCCUGUCCUGGGGCAGAGGGGCCACCCUGAGGUCCAUCAGUCAGUCUGACCAUCUCCUUAGAACCUCGAGCCUCUCGCCUCGCCUCGCCUCGCCUGACGCCCUUUCCCGCCCUUUAUCUCCCUUCAGAAUUAAAAAAAAAGACAGUCGGAAGCAUCAGAGCAUGCGUCCUAACCGUCAGUCUGGAACAGGUGCGCGCGGCCGGCCCGCGGGCUGGCGGGAGCUCACGCGAACUAACGCGCGAGCUCGCACGCUGCGGCGGCCGGCUGGCGACUAGUGACGUCGCGGAGGCUUGUCCCUGCCUUAUUGGCUGCCUUCGACCAGCGCGCGCUUGCUGGACUAGACGGCCAGCCUUGCCAAGCGCCAGGGGGCGCUCAGCGCUAGAGCUCACUGACCCCCGGAGCCCUAUAGAGAGACUCGUGUCAUCCUGGCAACCCUGUCCUACCUAAUUGGAUACCUGCUCCAGUUCGUUGGAUCCAUUAAUCUGAUUGGAUGCCUGGCGAGUCAAGGCUUGUAUAUAAUUGGAUGCCUGGAAAUGUGGAUCUUUCCUACGUUUCGCAUUUCUCUCUCUUAGCUGGAUUUCUUCCGCAAGCACUGGGGAUGUGGAGAUUGAAAAUACAGGUCCCUUUCCUCCCGCCAAGGGGCGCCAUGGAACGCAGGGCCCUCUCUGUCCCUGGGGACUGGGUGACGUCAGGGGUAAGCCUCUCGUGAUUGGGUACAUCGCUCCCCAGAAGGUCAAAUGGAAGAAUUGAGAGCACUUUCCCACCAGCUUUGGUGGCUCCGUCUGGUUGUCCUGGUGCACAAGCUGGCGAUGCUAUGUGUUUGAAGCUAACCUGGGCAAAAUUAAAAAAAAAUUUUUUU
Molecule: long non-coding RNA, 1829 nt
Organism: Symphalangus syndactylus (siamang)
Lineage: Eukaryota; Metazoa; Chordata; Mammalia; Primates; Hylobatidae
Source: RefSeq, a predicted model, not a curated record